UAAUAUUGCAGAUCAAAGAUUUAUCUUUGACAAGUCUACUGUGUCACUGCCCUAUCAACUUUCGAUGGUACGGUAUUGGCCUACCAUGGUUGUAACGGGUAACGGGGAAUUAGGGUUCGAUUCCGGAGAGGGAGCCUGAGAAAUGGCUACCACUUCUACGGAAGGCAGCAGGCGCGCAAAUUACUCAAUCCCAAUACGGGGAAGUAGUGACAAUAAAUAUCGAUGCCUAACCAUUUUUGGAAGGGUAAUUGAAAUGAACACAAAUUAAAACUCUUAAUUAAUACAAUUGGAGGGCAAGUCUGGUGCCAGCAGCCGCGGUAAUUCCAGCUCCAAUAGCAUAUACUAAAGUUGUUGCAGUUAAAAAGCUCGUAGUUGAAGUUAAAGCUUUAUUUGGGUUAAAAAUCUAUUUACCUUUUAUUGGUUAAAUCAGAUUCCAGUAUUGCUUUUUUAAAGUUCAGUUUGUAUUGCCUUUGGUAGUAUUUAUUUGGACAUUUCACUGUGAGAAAAUUGUGGUGUUUAAAGCAGGCGUCUCUGCCUGAUCUUUUGCAGCAUGGUAUGAUGGAACAUGACAUUUUGCGCAAUUGGUUGCGAUUAAAGUGUAAUGAUUAAUAGGGAUGGAUGGGGGUGUUCAUAUUGGUGGGCGAGAGGUGAAAUUCGUUGACCCUAUCAAGAUGAACUUCUGCGAAAGCAUUCACCAAAUACUUCCCCAUUAAUCAAGAACGAAAGUUUGGGGAUCGAAGACGAUCAGAUACCGUCGUAGUCCAAACUAUAAACUAUGUCGACCAGGGAUCGGUUAAAACUUUUUAAAAGUUUAAUCGGCACCUUGUGAGAAAUCACGAGUGUUUAGAUUCCGGGGGGAGUAUGGUCGCAAGUCUGAAACUUAAAGGAAUUGACGGAAGGGCACACAAUGGAGUGGAGCCUGCGGCUUAAUUUGACUCAACUCGGGAAAACUUACCAAGCUAAGAUAUAGUAAGGAUUGACAGACUAAGAGAUCUUUCAUGAUUCUAUAAGUGGUGGUGCAUGGUCGUUCUUAGUUGGUGGAGCGAUUUGUCUGGUCAAUUCCGAUAACGGACGAGACCUCGACCUGCUAACUAGUAGUAUUUAUUGGCCGUUAUGGAUGAUAGCUAUUUCGGGGUUUGGAAGGUCUUCGGAUCUCUCCGCUUCGUGUGGUGUGUAAUCUGGUCGGAUAGGUACGAAUUAAAACUUCUUAGAGGGACUACCUGCCUCAAGCAGGCGGAAGUCCGAGGCAAUAACAGGUCUGUGAUGCCCUUAGAUACCUUGGGCCGCACGCGCGCUACAAUGUAGAAAGCAAAAAGGUUCCUGGUCCGGAAGGAUUGGGUAAUCAAUUGAAUUUUCUACGUAACUGGGAUUGAUCUUUGUAAUUAUUGAUCAUCAACGAGGAAUUCCUUGUAAGCGUAAGUCAUUACCUUAUGCUGAAUAUGUCCCUGCCCUUUGUACACACCGCCCGUCGCUCCUACCGAUCGAAUGAUACGGUAAAGCCAACGGAUAAGGUCCUAUUGGGCAACCAGUACGGAUUUUAAAAGUUGUUUAAAUCUCAUUGUUUAGAGGAAGGAGAAGUCGUAACAAGGUAUCCGUAGGUGAACCUGCGGAUGGAUCAUUUUUCAUCUCGAAACUUGAUACAAAAUUGAAUCUUUGAUCUGUUUUUCUUUUAAAUAGAACGGGUUCUUUUUUGUUCAUCUGCAAUUUCCAACACAUGGUUAACAUUUGAUUCCUUACUUAUUUNGUUGGUCAAACAACCAUUUAAAGAAGUGUAAGCUUUAAAUCANUAAAGCAUAAACGGUGAAUACCUCGACUCCUAAAUCGAUGAAGACCGUAGCAAACUGCGAUAAUUCACUUGAAUUGCAGCCUACUGGGAUAGUUGAAAUGUUGAACGCACAUGAUGGCAUUGGCCCUUUGGGUUAAGUGUCAUACUUGGGUGAGAGCGAUCUCUAUAUUAAAUAUUAAACUUUUUAUUAAUACAAAUUUUGUUUGUAUAAACAAUCGUUUGAUAUAAUAGUUUAAUUUUUAGUCUCUGAUUAAAAGUUAAAUUAUUUUUAUAGUUGAUCUAUAGUAGUCUUUGCAGUGGUAUAAUCGACUUUGGUUUCAAUUUCGAUCAAACCAUACUAUUUGAUGGCGUUUCUUUUACCUGAAACUUUUAAUCAACAUUCAAUUGAAAAAGCGAAUAAUGAACUAGUUUCGUAUAGGUUUAAUUUACAAACUCUUAUAAUAUGGCUCUUUAAUGUUAAUUUGAUUUUUAAAAUUGUUACUAUUCUUUUGUAUAUUCCAAACACUGAUAAAGAAGCAACAUUAUGAACGUUAACGAUAAAGUUUAUCUUUAUUGGUUCAACAGUUGUAUAUAUUUCGCCUCAUCCAAGUAAGAUUACCCGCUGAACUUAAGCAUAUCAGUAAGCGGAGGAAAAGAAACUAACUAGGAUUCCGUCAGUAAC
This 2447-nucleotide ribosomal RNA is filed under the name Polysphondylium violaceum. RNAcentral's name for it is "SSU rRNA". The stretch from base 1 to 1621 matches the Rfam family "Eukaryotic small subunit ribosomal RNA", at positions 257 to 1831 of the family's 1831-position model. The record is from RNAcentral. Lineage: Eukaryota; Evosea; Eumycetozoa; Dictyosteliales; Dictyosteliaceae.